Cucurbita pepo subsp. pepo (vegetable marrow) is the source of this 345-nucleotide non-coding RNA. NCBI's taxonomy places the organism in Eukaryota, Viridiplantae, Streptophyta, Magnoliopsida, Cucurbitales, Cucurbitaceae. The record is from RefSeq and is a predicted model, not a curated record.
AAAAUCAAUGAAUUUAUACGUAGUUUUGAGCGGAGAAGGAAUGUGGUAGUAAAUAGCGAAUUUGUAGUCGUGGAGGAUACUUCCAUUCGCCAUGAAUUCGUCCAUGAAUUGCGAGGGGAAGUUUUAAGAGCAAUUUGAAGGAGCAUACAAAAGCUUUUGAAAUGCUGCACGGGUAAGUAAUUGACGAACUUCAGAUUUCAGUGUCAAUUUAUGAGCGAUCAUUUUAGUUUGGAAACAUUUUCUUGUCGAUGCUGGUUUCUAAGAAAAAAAAUUAAAGAUCUAUAGCUUAUACAUUGUACAAUGUUGAAGAAUAUGUUAUAAUCAAUCUAUUUCACCCUAGAGCCA